This 379-nucleotide ribosomal RNA is filed under the name uncultured Anoxybacillus sp. RNAcentral's name for it is "bacterial SSU rRNA". It matches the Rfam family "Bacterial small subunit ribosomal RNA", at positions 1007 to 1382 of the family's 1533-position model. The record is from RNAcentral. Lineage: Bacteria; Bacillati; Bacillota; Bacilli; Caryophanales; Anoxybacillaceae.
GGGCGGUUCCCCCUUCGGGGGGACGAGGGUGGACAGGUGGUGCAUGGUUGUCGUCAGCUCGUGUCGUGAGAUGUUGGGUUAAGUCCCGCAACGAGCGCAACCCUCGACCUUAGUUGCCAGCAUUCAGUUGGGCACUCUAAGGUGACUGCCGGCUAAAAGUCGGAGGAAGGUGGGGAUGACGUCAAAUCAUCAUGCCCCUUAUGACCUGGGCUACACACGUGCUACAAUGGGCGGUACAAAGGGUCGCGAACCCGCGAGGGGGAGCCAAUCCCAAAAAGCCGCUCUCAGUUCGGAUUGCAGGCUGCAACUCGCCUGCAUGAAGCCGGAAUCGCUAGUAAUCGCGGAUCAGCAUGCCGCGGUGAAUACGUUCCCGGGCCUU